GGUGGGGGGGGGGGGGGGGGGGGGGUAAAAAGAAAUUGUGGGGGGUCAAUUUUUUCUCAUUUCAGAUUUCAGAAAUUAAAAAGAAUUAUUCUUCAAAUAUUAUUUUUUUUUCAAAUUUCAAAUAUUGAAAAAUUUCAAGAAGUAAUCUUUAAUUGCACAGUAUGGCGCAUAAGUUUUGUAAAAUCUUUGAUCACAUUUAUUUAUUUGUUAUGCCGAAUCUAACAGUGUAUUUAGAUUUUUAAUUUUGGGUCCAGUUUUCAAAUUGGUCUACAUUAAGGUCCAAAGGGUCCAAAAUUAAACUUUGUUUGAUUUUACCAAAAAUUGAAUAUAUGAGGUUCUUUGAUAUGCUGAAUCUAAACAUGUAUUUAGAUUUUUGAUUUUUGGCCCAGUUUUCAAGUUAGUCCAAAUUGGGGUCCAAAAUUUAACUUUGUUUGAUUUCAACAAAAAUUGAAUAUAUGGGGUUCUUUGAUAUGCUGAAUCUAACCAUGUAUUUAGAUUUUUUAUUUGUGGACCCCGUUAUCAAAUUGGUUCAUAUUGAGGUCAAAAGGGUCCAAAAUUAAACUUUGUUUGAUUUCAUCAAAAAUUGAAUUAUUGGGGUUCUUUGAUAUUCCAAAUCUAACCGUGUAUUUAGAUUUUUAAUUUUAGGUCCCGUUUUUUAAAUUGGUCUACAUUAAGGUCCAAAGGGUCCAAAAUUAAACUUAGUUUGAUUUUAGCAAAAAUUGAAUUCUUGGGGUUCUUUGAUAUGCUGAAUCUAAACAUGUGUUUAGAUUUUUUAUUAUGGGCCCAGUUUUCAAGUUUGUCCAAGUUGGGGUCCAAAAUUAAACUUUUUUUGAUUUCAACAAAAAUUGAAUAUAUGGGGUUCUUUGAUAUGCUGAAUCUAACCAUGAAUUUAGAUUUUUUAUUUGUGGGCCCCGCUAUCAAAUUGGUUCAUAUUGAGGUCAAAAGGGUCCAAAAUUAAACUUUGUUUGAUUUUAGCAAAAAUUGAAUUCUUGGGGUUCUUUGAUAUGCUGAAUCUAAACAUGUGUUUAGAUUUUUGAUUAUGGGCCCAGUUUUCAAGUUUGUCCAAGUUGGGGUCCAAAAUUAAACUUUUUUUGAUUUCAACAAAAAUUGAAUAUAUGGGGUUCUUUGAUAUGCUGAAUCUAACCAUGAAUUUAGAUUUUUUAUUUGUGGGCCCCGCUAUCAAAUUGGUUCAUAUUGAGGUCAAAAGGGUCCAAAAUUAAACUUUGUUUGAUUUCAUCAAAAAUUGAAUUAUUGGGGUUCUUUGAUAUUCCAAAUCUAACCGUGUAUUUAGAUUUUUAAUUUUGGGUCCCGUUUUUGAAAUUGGUCUACAUUAAGGUCCAAAGGGUCCAAAAUUAAACUUAGUUUGAUUUUAACAAAAAUUGAAUAUAUGGGGUUCUUUGAUAUGCUGAAUCUAACCAUGUAUUUUGAUUUUGGACAUUGGACCAUAAUAGGUAAAUUAAAAAAAAUCAAGUUCUUAGACCACAUUCUUUCUGUGUCAGAAACCUAUGCUGUGUCAAAUAUUUAAUAACAAUCCAAAUUCAGAGCUGUAUCAAGCUUGAAUGUUGUGUCCAUACUUGCCCCAACUGUUCAGGGUUCGACCUCUGCGGUCGUAUCAAGCUGCACCCCAACGAAGCAUUUUAUUGGUUAUUAUCUUGAAUAUUAUUAUAGAUAGAGAUAAACUGUAAACAGCAAUAAUGUUCAGCAAAGUAAGAUCUACAAAUAAGUUGUCAUGACCAAAAUUGUCAGUCGACCCCUUUAGGAGUUAUUGCCCUUAAUAGUCAGUUUUUAACAAUUUUUUGUAAAUUUUUGUAAUCUUUUACAAAAAUCUUCUUUUCUGAAACUACUGAGACAAAUUUAACCAUACUUGGCCAUAAUCAUUAUUAGGGUAUCUAGUUUAAAAAAUUUGUCAGAUGACCCCGCCUUCUAACCAUCAUGGCUGACUUGGUUAAAAAUAGAACAUAGGGGUAAAAUGCAGUUUUUGGUUUAUAUCUCUGAAACUAAAGCAUUUAGAGCAAAUCUGACAGGUGGCAAAAAUGUUCAUCAGAAUUAGAUUUAUCUGCCCUGAAAUUUUCAGACGAAUCCGACAACCGGUUGUUGGGUUGCUGCCCCUGAGUUAGUAAUUUUACAAAAAUUUUGCAGUUUUUUGUUAUUAUCUUAGAUAUCAUUAUAAUAUCUAAUAUCUAAUACUAUUAAUUAUGAUUUUAACCUUAUUUUACAUGAUUUCCAAAGCGUCAGUAAAUACAGGUGAGCGACACAGGCUCUUGAGAGCCUCUAGUUUU
This is a long non-coding RNA of Mytilus californianus (California mussel), 2279 nucleotides long. RefSeq lists it as uncharacterized. Lineage: Eukaryota; Metazoa; Mollusca; Bivalvia; Mytilida; Mytilidae. The record is from RefSeq and is a predicted model, not a curated record. The transcript has 3 exons.